AUGCUGCUGCGCCCCGGCUCUCCGCGUCCCCCCCUCUCCGCGCUCCGCCGCGAUCCCCGAACGUGCGGAGGGAAGAAGGAGGGCGGGCGAGGGAGGCGCGGGGAGGAGGAGCGCGGGGGGAGGAGGAGGCCGGGAGGAGGAGGUGGCGACGGGGGAGGAGGAGGAGGAGGAGGAGGAGGAGGAGGAGGAGGAGGAGGACCGCGCCGCCGGCGGAAUGGGAAGUUUGACAAAUCGCUCCGGAGGCCCGCGGAGGAGGGGGCGGGGAGGCGCGGCGGCCCUGCCCCCCCGGCCCCCGCCCCCCGCCCCCCGCCCCGGCCCCGGCCCCGUCCCCGCCGCGGGGCGCGGGGCGCGGGGCGCGGGGCCGGGGCCCGGGCGGGAGGACGAGCGCGGGAGCGGCCCGGCCGCCGCGGCCCCCGCCCCCGCCCCGCCCCGCCCCGCCCCCGCCCCCGGGCAGGGGGUCACGGCGUCCGGGGGGCCGCCCAGCCGCCGCCGCGGCCCGGGGCUCGGCGGUCCAGUCUCCUGCCCGCGGCGCGGCUGGAGCGGCGGCGUCGGCAACAGGCAAGCUUAGAGGAAAAGGAGAUGAUCGUGUCACCCGCCCGCCGCCGCCCGCCGCGCCCCCGGCCCCGGCCCCGGCCCCGGCCCCGGCCCCGGCCCGGACCCCGCGCCCGGACCCCGCGCACCCCCGCCCGCGCCCGCGCCCGCCCCCGCCCCCGCCCAGGGCGCGCCCCGCCCGGCCCGGCCCGGCCCGCGGCCCCGGCUCGCCCCCCGCCCCGCCCCGCCCCGCCCCGCCCGGGCCGCGCUCCUCCCCCCCCCCCCGCACCCGCGCCCCCGCCCCGCCCCGCCCCCGCCCCGGGGAUGCCCGGGCCCGAGGGGGGCGGACAGGAGCGCGGCCCGGACCGGGCGGGGGCCGCCCCCACACCCGCGCCGCCCGGGCUCCUCCCCCGGGACCCGCCGCCGCCACUUCCCCCAAUUUUUUCUCUUUUUUUUUCUUCCCGGGCAAACUUUCCCGGGCCGGUCCCGGGGGUCGGCGUGGGAGGGGGCGCCCCGAGCGCGCUCCUCCGCCUGGGAACGGCGCGGUCCCCCCGCGCGCCCCUUCCCGUCCCGUCCCGUCCCCCCGUCCCCGUCCCCGUCCCGGGCCCCGUCCCCCGGCCGCGCCCCCCGCCCCAUCGCGGGCGGCCCCGAGGGCGGGAGGGGGCGGGGGCGGGGGCGGGGGCCGGGGAGGAACUCGGGCCCCGGAGCCCAGCCCCCCCCCCCCCCCCCCCGGCCGCCGCCCCGGGGCGCCCCCGAGACUGGGCCACCGCGCCCGGCGCCCGCUCGCCAGCGGUCCUGGGCGAGAAGAAUUGA
Molecule: long non-coding RNA, 1344 nt
Filed under: Canis lupus familiaris (dog)
Lineage: Eukaryota; Metazoa; Chordata; Mammalia; Carnivora; Canidae
Description: lncRNA (ENSCAFG00000052993.1)
Source: RNAcentral